UGUUAGGUCAAGGUGCAGUGUUUAAAAGAAAUAUAUGGGUUACAUUAUAAAUUAUGAAUGAAUUUAAUUAAAAUAAGAUUAAUGAAAUAGGAUUUAAAAGUAAAAUUAAUUUAAGAAUUGUAAUGAAUAAAGAUUCUGAAAUAUGUACACAUCGCCCGUCGCUCUUAUAAUUUUAAUAUAAGAUAAGUCGUAACAUAGUAGGAGUACCGGAAGGUGCUCCUGGAUUUAAGUAAAUAGCUUAAAUAAAAAGUUUAUUAUUUACAUUAAUAGGAUACUUCUAGAGUUUUACUUAGGUAAUAAAAUUAGUAAUUAAUCUUAUAUAAUUAAUUGUGAAGGGGGGUUCAUAUUUAAUUAUAAAAGAGGAAUGAUUUUCGUACCUUU
RNAcentral lists this ribosomal RNA (381 nucleotides) under Melanastera lucens. RNAcentral describes it as "Diclidophlebia lucens partial small subunit ribosomal RNA". The record is from RNAcentral. Lineage: Eukaryota; Metazoa; Arthropoda; Insecta; Hemiptera; Liviidae.